GUGAAUCAUCAAAUUUUUGAACGCAAAUUGCACUCUCCUCUGAUAGGAUGCCUGUUUCAGGGUCAGCCUAUAAAAAAUCGACAUCGUUGCUGUUCCGUGGUGGCGUUCGUCGGAAAUUGGGACAUCUUAAAUCCUUCUGAUUUAAGUGACUUAAAAUUUGCUUUUGGUUCCAUGGACGUUUCUAAGUUCUAUCUCUUUACACGUCUAAGGUAUCGAUUUUUACUAGACGUGAUCACCAUAUCGGAUCGCG
This 250-nucleotide unclassified non-coding RNA is filed under the name Glomus sp. RNAcentral describes it as "partial internal transcribed spacer 2". The record is from RNAcentral. Lineage: Eukaryota; Fungi; Glomeromycota; Glomeromycetes; Glomerales; Glomeraceae.